This 250-nucleotide ribosomal RNA is filed under the name uncultured bacterium. Its description in RNAcentral is "partial 16S ribosomal RNA". It matches the Rfam family "Bacterial small subunit ribosomal RNA", at positions 524 to 773 of the family's 1533-position model. The record is from RNAcentral.
UACGGAGGGUGCGAGCGUUAUUCGGAAUUACUGGGCGUAAAGCGCGUGCAGGCGGGAGGAUAAGUCUGAUGUGAAAGCCCCGGGCUCAACCCGGGAAGGGCAUUGGAGACUGUUCUUCUUGAGUUCUGGAGAGGAAGGGAGAAUUCCCGGUGUAGAGGUGAAAUUCGUAGAGAUCGGGAGGAACACCAGUGGCGAAGGCGCCCUUCUGGACAGCAACUGACGCUGAGACGCGAAAGCGUGGGGAGCAAAC